This 1515-nucleotide long non-coding RNA is filed under the name Vulpes vulpes (red fox). Its description in RNAcentral is "lncRNA (ENSVVUG00000005074.1)". The record is from RNAcentral. Lineage: Eukaryota; Metazoa; Chordata; Mammalia; Carnivora; Canidae.
CUAUCAACAGGGCUGAAAAACAGUAGCUGGUGUCAAUAAUAAGCCAUGAACACACAAACCAGGUUACGCUGCGGAAAAAGCGUUCUGGAUCUCAAUGGCUUACGAGGUUGUCUCCACAUAUUUACAUGCUAUGUCCAUCGCGAGUGAGCUAUGGCUCUGCUUCACGGCGUCCUGCCUUGGGAUUCGGGCUGACAGAGAAGCUUCUAUCUGGAACACUGGAGCAGAGGGAAAAGAGAGCUUGGCAAAGCCCAAACUGGCUCUUAGAGCUGGACGUGACACACAUUACUUGUCACCUUCCAUUGGCCAAAUCAGGUCGCAUGGCCAAGCCCAACAUGAUUAGGAAGAGAAACUCUUACUCUCCCCUAAGCAGACGCACGGUCACACUUGGAGGGAGAGCUUCAGGUGUACUUGCUGGGAGCCAGUGUGGAAGGUCGCAGGAGAAGACCCUUGUCAUAGCAAGACAACCUGCUGUGAAAGUUGGAGAGCACCAAGACUGCAGCCUGGAGACCAGGUAAAAGGCAACAGAAACAUAAAGACCUGAAACACAGACACGACACCCAGGCUGGAGAGGAAGCAGGCUGGUGAGCCAAUAGAAGGCCUAACUGGCCGGGCUUGCACAGGAGCCUGGGUGGGGGAAGGGGCGGUGCAGGAUGAGCCCAGGUUGCCCGGUUUGGGUGUCUCCCUUUUGUAGGUGCCCAGAGAUGGGAGCUAAGGGAAGAGCCAGUGCAGGUACAGGGAGGUGACAACGCUGGCUGGAGUCACUAGUCAGGACAGAGGGGAAAUGAUCUCUCAGACCACUGGAAUCUGGGGCUGGGGAAAGAGGACCAGGCUGCAGAUACCUAUUUGUGAGUCACUGUACCAAGGUGGUGGUUGGAGCUGCGGGUGAGACUGCCUGGGGGGCUGGGGUGCAGAGAGAGUGGAGACCCUUGGACGGAAUCCUGUUUUCCAUUCCUUGCAAAUCUUGCUCUAGAGCUCUUCUCCCACCGCUAGGGCUCUUCUCCCACCGCUUGCAGCCCCCAGAGUGUCUCCCAACCACUCCUCCUUUGAAGUCAAAACCAUUGGCUAAACAGUCACAGACCGGAGAUGUUUUGGGUUCUGACAACUCCCUGUAUUUCUGGUAGCUUCCACGUGUCUCGCUCUUAUCUUCCUGACUCCAACCGUAAGCUCACUCAGGCUGGGGCUCUAUUUUUGUACCCUCUCCCCCACCUUACUCUAUAUCAGUUCCAUCCAGUAACAAUCCGCCCUCUGAGGACUAUAGGCUCCCUCAUUGAAGAUCCUGGGUCCAGCCGAAGAACACCGUGUCGGAGGACAAAGUUCAGUUCUCCUCCGAGAGCCCUGCACCUGUGUCCCUCCUGCCAGCACCUGGGGCCCAGGACUGACUCACCGAGUCAACAUCUCUCCCAUCUGCUUGGUGGAUUCCCAAACCCUGACACCGUGUGAAGCCCUUGGAAGACUGGUGGUUUAUUUUACUAAAAAUAAGCUGGAUAUUGAAGCAGCAAGUUGAAACACAAAGCA